Molecule: ribosomal RNA, 746 nt
Filed under: Turgenitubulus costus
Lineage: Eukaryota; Metazoa; Mollusca; Gastropoda; Stylommatophora; Camaenidae
Description: partial 16S ribosomal RNA
Source: RNAcentral
CACGAAACUAGAUGAGCUACGUAAAUAUAAUUAUUAGAUUAGUGUAUGUAACAUAAUAUAAGUAAAUAUUUACUUAGGGGUGAUAGGCUUUCCAAAUCUAGGGAUAUCUUGAUACUCAAGAAAGACAUUGAGUGUUAAAAUAAUUAUGUAGUGAUUAGGCUACUUAAUAACAUAAAUGUUUGCUAAUAGCGUUAUUUUGAUUUAAUUAUUGAAUAUUCCUUAUAAUAACAUUUUAAUAUUCCUGCUUAUGGUUUUUAUUGAGUUGCAUACUAAUUUCUGAUUAUGUUAAUAAUGUAUCUAUUAGUAAUAUUCUAUUUAUUUGAAAUGAACUCGGCAACAUAUCCUUCAACUGUUUACCAAAAACAUAAUUAUGGGUUUUUAUCCAUAACGAUUUCUGCUCAAUGAAGUUUAAAUAGCCGCAGUACCCUGACUGUGCAAAGGUAGCGUAAUAAUUUGACUUAUAAUUGAAGUCCUGUAUGAAUGAAUAUAUGGGGGGUAACUUUAUCUAAAGUAGUACAUAAACUUAUUUUAAAAGUGCGAAAUCUUUUAAAAAAAUGAAAGACGAGAAGACCCUUGAAAUUUUUAAAACGUGUGUAUAGAACUUUUUGUUGGGGCAACAGAAUAACACGCAACUUAUUUUAUAGGACACGACCAUGUUUGUGUAAGAUUAAAUUACUCUAGGGAUAACAGCGUGAUUUAGAAAAGUUUGCGACCUCGAUGUUGGACUAGGAAAAGAUUGUCCAGAA